AUUGAACGCUGGCGGCAGGCUUAACACAUGCAAGUCGAACGAGCGGCGGACGGGUGAGUAAUGUCUGGGAAACUGCCUGAUGGAGGGGGAUAACUCCUGGAAACGGUAUCUAAUACCACAUACCAUCAGAUGUGCCCAUAUGGGAUUAGCUAGUGGGUGGGGUAAUGGCUCACCUAGGCGACGAUCCCUAGCGGGUCUGAGAGGAUGACAAGCCACCCUGGAACUGAGACACGGUCCAGACUCCUACGGGAGGCAGCAGUGGGGAAUAUUGCACAAUGGGCGCAAGCCUGAUGCAGCCAUGCCGCGUGUGUGAAGAAGGCCUUCGGGUUGUAAAGCACUUUCAGCGAGGAGGCGUUACUCGCAGAAGAAGCACCGGCUAACUCCGUGCCAGCAGCCGCGGUAAUAC
This 406-nucleotide ribosomal RNA is filed under the name uncultured bacterium. RNAcentral's name for it is "partial 16S ribosomal RNA". It matches the Rfam family "Bacterial small subunit ribosomal RNA", at positions 30 to 526 of the family's 1533-position model. The record is from RNAcentral.